Molecule: long non-coding RNA, 144 nt
Organism: Pseudopipra pipra
Lineage: Eukaryota; Metazoa; Chordata; Aves; Passeriformes; Pipridae
Exons: 2
Source: RefSeq, a predicted model, not a curated record
CACAACUGAAAUGAGAGCAGAAAGGAGAGCCAGAAAGUACAGAAUUUAACACAGCUAUUGAUCAAUACGCAAAACCAGGAAAGGAUGAAAGAUCUUUGUUACGGUCUUCCAAAAAGACCUAUGAAGUGGGUUUGUCCUAAGCAG